RNAcentral lists this ribosomal RNA (1210 nucleotides) under metagenome. RNAcentral describes it as "bacterial SSU rRNA". It matches the Rfam family "Bacterial small subunit ribosomal RNA", at positions 275 to 1499 of the family's 1533-position model. The record is from RNAcentral.
CCUGACGGGUAGCUGGUCUGAGAGGACGAUCAGCCACACUGGAACUGAGACACGGUCCAGACUCCUACGGGAGGCAGCAGUAGGGAAUCUUGCGCAAUGGGCGAAAGCCUGACGCAGCAAUGCCGCGUGCGGGACGAAGGCCCUAGGGUCGUAAACCGCUUUCAGUAGGGACGAAAAUGACGGUACCCGCAGAAGAAGCUCCGGCCAACUACGUGCCAGCAGCCGCGGUGAUACGUAGGGAGCAAGCGUUGUCCGGAAUUACUGGGCGUAAAGGGCUCGUAGGUGGUUGAGUAAGUCAGAUGUGAAAUCUCAGGGCCCAACCCUGAGCGUGCAUUUGAUACUGCUCUGACUAGAGUCCGGUAGGGGAGUGCGGAAUUCCUGGUGUAGCGGUGAAAUGCGCAGAUAUCAGGAGGAACACCGACAGCGAAGGCAGCACUCUGGGCCGGUACUGACACUGAGGAGCGAAAGCAUGGGUAGCAAACAGGAUUAGAUACCCUGGUAGUCCAUGCCGUAAACGUUGGGCACUAGGUGUGGGGAGAACUCAACUCUCUCCGCGCCGUAGCUAACGCAUUAAGUGCCCCGCCUGGGGAGUACGGCCGCAAGGCUAAAACUCAAAGGAAUUGACGGGGGCCCGCACAAGCGGCGGAGCAUGUUGCUUAAUUCGAGGCAACGCGAAGAACCUUACCUGGGUUGAACUACGUGGGAAAAGCCGCAGAGAUGCGGUGUCCUUCGGGGUCCACGAUAGGUGGUGCAUGGCUGUCGUCAGCUCGUGUCGUGAGAUGUUGGGUUAAGUCCCGCAACGAGCGCAACCCUUGUCCUAUGUUGCCAGCGGGUAAAGCCGGGGACUCGUAGGAGACUGCCGGGGUCAACUCGGAGGAAGGUGGGGACGACGUCAAGUCAUCAUGCCCCUUAUGUCCAGGGCUGCAAACAUGCUACAAUGGCCGGUACAACGGGCAGCUAAACCGCGAGGUCAAGCGAAUCCCACAAAGCCGGUCUCAGUUCGGAUUGAAGUCUGCAACUCGACUUCAUGAAGCUGGAGUCGCUAGUAAUCCCGGAUCAGCAACGCCGGGGUGAAUACGUUCCCGGGCCUUGUACACACCGCCCGUCACACGCCGAAAGUCGGCAACACCCGAAGUCAGUGGCCCAACCCCUAGGGGAGGGAGCUGCCGAAGGUGGGGCUGGCGAUUGGGGUGAAGUUGGAACAAGGUAG